RNAcentral lists this ribosomal RNA (1489 nucleotides) under Salmonella enterica subsp. enterica serovar Enteritidis. RNAcentral describes it as "partial 23S ribosomal RNA". It matches the Rfam family "Bacterial large subunit ribosomal RNA", at positions 434 to 1921 of the family's 2925-position model. The record is from RNAcentral. Lineage: Bacteria; Pseudomonadati; Pseudomonadota; Gammaproteobacteria; Enterobacterales; Enterobacteriaceae.
CCGUCGGAAUCCGGGAGGACCAUCUCCCAAGGCUAAAUACUCCCUAGUGACCGAUAGUGAACCAGUACCGUGAGGGAAAGGUGAAAAGCACCCCGGAAGGGGAGUGAAACAGUUCCUGAAACCGUGUGCCUACAAGUAGUUAGAGCCCGUUAAUGGGUGAUAGCGUGCCUUUUGUAGAAUGAACCGGCGAGUUACGAUUUGUUGCAAGGUUAAGCGGAAAAAGCGGAGCCGUAGCGAAAGCGAGUCUGAAUAGGGCGCAUAAGUAACAGGUCGUAGACCCGAAACCAGGUGAUCUACCCAUGUCCAGGAUGAAGGUAAGGUAAUACUUACUGGAGGUCCGAACCCACGCACGUUGAAAAGUGCGGGGAUGAGGUGUGGGUAGCGGAGAAAUUCCAAUCGAACUUGGAGAUAGCUGGUUCUCUCCGAAAUAGCUUUAGGGCUAGCCUCGAGGUAAAGAGUCAUGGAGGUAGAGCACUGUUUGGACUAGGGGCCCUUCUCGGGUUACCGAAUUCAGAUAAACUCCGAAUGCCAUGUACUUAUACUCGGGAGUCAGACUGCGAGUGAUAAGAUCCGUAGUCGAAAGGGAAACAGCCCAGACCACCAGUUAAGGUCCCCAAAUAUAUGUUAAGUGGAAAAGGAUGUGGGGUUGCUUAGACAACCAGGAUGUUGGCUUAGAAGCAGCCACCAUUGAAAGAGUGCGUAAUAGCUCACUGGUCGAGUGACCCCGCGCCGAAAAUGUACCGGGGCUAAACAUAUUACCGAAACUGUGGAUGAACCUCUUUAGAGGUUCGUGGUAGGAGAGCGUUCUAAGGGCGGUGAAGUCAGACCGGAAGGACUGGUGGAGCGCUUAGAAGUGAGAAUGCCGGUAUGAGUAGCGAAAGAAGGGUGAGAAUCCCUUCCACCGAAUAUCUAAGGUUUCCUGAGGAAGGCUCGUCCGCUCAGGGUUAGUCGGGACCUAAGCCGAGGCCGAUAGGCGUAGGCGAUGGACAACAGGUAGAGAUUCCUGUACCAGUGCUAAUUGUUUAACCGAUGGGGUGACACAGAAGGAUAGGGAAUCGCACGAAUGGAAAUGUGCGUCCAAGCAGUGAGUGUGAGAAGUAGGCAAAUCCGCUUCUCGCGAAGCAUGAGCUGUGAUGGGGAAGGAAAUUAAGUACGGAAGUUCCUGAUUUCACGCUGUCAAGAAAAGCCUCUAGGAAGAGUAGUACUGCCCGUACCGCAAACCGACACAGGUAGAUGAGGAGAGAAUCCUAAGGUGAGCGAGAGAACUCUCGUUAAGGAACUCGGCAAAAUGACCCCGUAACUUCGGGAGAAGGGGUGCUCUAUUAGGGUGCAAGCCCGAGAGAGCCGCAGUGAAUAGGCCCAGGCGACUGUUUAGCAAAAACACAGGUCUCUGCAAAACCGUAAGGUGACGUAUAGGGGCUGACGCCUGCCCGGUGCUGGAAGGUUAAGAGGAGUGCUUAGCUUCGGCGAAGGUACGAAUUGAAGCCCC